ACGGGUUUCGCGAUCGAUGAACA
This 23-nucleotide microRNA is filed under the name Magallana gigas (Pacific oyster). RNAcentral describes it as "Mgi-Mir-76_5p* (star (passenger))". The record is from RNAcentral. Lineage: Eukaryota; Metazoa; Mollusca; Bivalvia; Ostreida; Ostreidae.